ACCAAUUCUAGGCCUUUUGGCUGAGAUCAAGUGUAUUAUCUGUUUUUACCAGCUUAAUAUCUAUGUCCUUUACCUGAGGCAUUGAUUUUUGGAACAAAGAGAUGGAAUAGGAGCUUGCUCUGUCAGCUCCUUGCAUCAACCUGGCAUUGCAGUACUUCUAGGAACGGUGUACCGCUU
Small nuclear RNA from Camelus dromedarius (Arabian camel), 177 nucleotides. Its record names the gene U2. It matches the Rfam family "U2 spliceosomal RNA". From Rfam's summary of the family: U2 is a small nuclear RNA (snRNA) component of the spliceosome (involved in pre-mRNA splicing). Complementary binding between U2 snRNA (in an area lying towards the 5' end but 3' to hairpin I) and the branchpoint sequence (BPS) of the intron results the bulging out of an unpaired adenosine, on the BPS, which initiates a nucleophilic attack at the intronic 5' splice site, thus starting the first of two transesterification reactions that mediate splicing. NCBI's taxonomy places the organism in Eukaryota, Metazoa, Chordata, Mammalia, Artiodactyla, Camelidae. The record is from Ensembl.